GACGAACGCUGGCGGAGGGAGGAACAGAGGCAAGUCGAACGGAAAGGCCCUGCUUUUGUGGGGUGCUCGAGUGGCGAACGGGUGAGUAACACGUGAGUAACCUGCCCUUGACUUUGGGAUAACUUCAGGAAACUGGGGCUAAUACCGGAUAGGAGCUCCUGCUGCAUGGUGGGGGUUGGAAAGUUUCGGCGGUUGGGGAUGGACUCGCGGCUUAUCAGCUUGUUGGUGGGGUAGUGGCUUACCAAGGCUUUGACGGGUAGCCGGCCUGAGAGGGUGACCGGCCACAUUGGGACUGAGAUACGGCCCAGACUCCUACGGGAGGCAGCAGUGGGGAAUAUUGCACAAUGGGCGGAAGCCUGAUGCAGCAACGCCGCGUGCGGGAUGCCGGCCUUCGGGUUGUAAACCGCUUUCGCCUGUGACGAAGCGUGAGUGACGGUAAUGGGUAAAGAAGCACCGGCUACCUACGUG
This 468-nucleotide ribosomal RNA is filed under the name uncultured bacterium. RNAcentral's name for it is "partial 16S ribosomal RNA". It matches the Rfam family "Bacterial small subunit ribosomal RNA", at positions 28 to 507 of the family's 1533-position model. The record is from RNAcentral.